UCGAUGUUUUGACACCUCUACCGUUCAAUGCCUCCACCUCGAAUGAUAGCUGAAUUUGUUGAUGAAUCAGAACAACAGUCAUGUAGAAUAUUUUGUAAACUAAGCUUAAACCCAUUUUCCACUGCGCGGUACUUUUGUUAUUUUACGGGUUUUUCGAUAGGCAACGCGGUGGUGCUUCCAAUGGCAAACGCUUUUGGGAGAGCUGUUCUGUGGUCAUGCGAGCUAAAGUUAACAAUCGAUACAAAUAAUAUAGCAAUAAUAUUUAAUUACCAUUUGUGUAUGGAUAGAAACAAAAUGGAAGCUUUUGGAGACAAGGAAUCAUUCCGCGUUGACAGAAAUUUAUUUCUGCAGUUGGUGGGGAUGGCACCAGGCCUAUUAAAAUUACGCAGUGUUUCAACCAGCCAUGGCAUUGGAUAAACCUAUUGCUGUUGCCCUCUAUUCGCUUUCUCAUCCUCGGAAUACAAAAUUAUUGGCAGAAUUUUUGGCUGAUCAAAAACAAUGGUAUGCAAAAUUGUAAUCAAAUUCUGUAUCGACUUUAUAUUUAUUAUAGCUCCCGAGUACUUGUCUCCAAGCCAGAGACAAUUGCACAGGUUUGCUCUGGGAAACCUAAGUACAUCGAUUGCUUUACAGGAAUAAGCCUAGUACUCACAUCGACGAAAACUGCGAGCUAACCGUAGGAGUGAGCGAGAGUCUGUUUUUUAAGCGCGGUACUCAGGUGAGCUAGGGAAAUACCAGAAAAAAUACCAGAUUUGGCGAAUGAAUUUCGAUGAACGCCGUUAGCCGCGGCCCAAAGAAUAAGAAUUUCAAUUAUUGGCUGUGUGCGUGCAAAGGUUGGUGGAAACUAAAAAUUAAAAAUGGUAGGAAAACCCCAAAAUCGACUGCAGGAUGUCAGUGCAAAUGAAAUAGGACGCCUAAUCCAAGCUUUUGCUUGUAUUGCGGGAUUUUACCGACAGCAAGCAAUACCACAACAGGGCAAAUCCUUAAAAUAGUUGAAGUGCUGGAGGAGAUCCACUAGAGAAUCCCAGUGGGAAGCUACAAAGAAUAACUCCACCGCUAGUAAUACGAUCUCCGACGACCUCGCCAUUAGGACUACGGACACCACUACCACCAGCUUCUUGGGAGCUUAAGCGGAUAUGGAGGAAGCGCUGGCUUCUAUAGGGAGGAGGAAAAUAGGGAGCCCGCUAAGGAACAGUUGAAGAAGCCAUAGGCAGCCAUUGUCAGGAUGCUGAGCGACUGCCUGGAGCAUCAGAUGGCGAAGCAUCCGUGGACGAGAAGGAAGCUUUAAACUACUAAUUUACAUAAAUAAAGGCUUACGUUGAACAUUUCA
This is a long non-coding RNA of Drosophila subpulchrella, 1327 nucleotides long. RefSeq lists it as uncharacterized. The transcript has 2 exons. NCBI's taxonomy places the organism in Eukaryota, Metazoa, Arthropoda, Insecta, Diptera, Drosophilidae. The record is from RefSeq and is a predicted model, not a curated record.